CAGCAGCCGCGGGAAUACAGAGGGUGCGAGCGUUAAUCGGAUUUACUGGGCGUAAAGCGUGCGUAGGCGGCUUCUUAAGUCGGAUGUGAAAUCCCUGAGCUUAACUUAGGAAUUGCAUUCGAUACUGGGAAGCUAGAGUAUGGGAGAGGAUGGUAGAAUUCCAGGUGUAGCGGUGAAAUGCGUAGAGAUCUGGAGGAAUACCGAUGGCGAAGGCAGCCAUCUGGCCUAAUACUGACGCUGAGGUACGAAAGCAUGGGGAGCAAACAGGAUUAGAUACCCCAGUAGUCCCUGUCUCUUUACA
RNAcentral lists this ribosomal RNA (301 nucleotides) under uncultured bacterium. RNAcentral's name for it is "partial 16S ribosomal RNA". It matches the Rfam family "Bacterial small subunit ribosomal RNA", at positions 509 to 808 of the family's 1533-position model. The record is from RNAcentral.